UACGUGGGGGGCUAGCGUUAUCCGGAAUUACUGGGCGUAAAGGGUGCGUAGGUGGUUUCUUAAGUCAGAGGUGAAAGGCUACGGCUCAACCGUAGUAAGCCUUUGAAACUGGGAAACUUGAGUGCAGGAGAGGAGAGUGGAAUUCCUAGUGUAGCGGUGAAAUGCGUAGAUAUUAGGAGGAACACCAGUUGCGAAGGCGGCUCUCUGGACUGUAACUGACACUGAGGCACGAAAGCGUGGGGAGCAAACAGG
This 252-nucleotide ribosomal RNA is filed under the name uncultured bacterium. RNAcentral describes it as "partial 16S ribosomal RNA". It matches the Rfam family "Bacterial small subunit ribosomal RNA", at positions 524 to 776 of the family's 1533-position model. The record is from RNAcentral.